RNAcentral lists this ribosomal RNA (490 nucleotides) under uncultured bacterium. Its description in RNAcentral is "partial 16S ribosomal RNA". It matches the Rfam family "Bacterial small subunit ribosomal RNA", at positions 28 to 507 of the family's 1533-position model. The record is from RNAcentral.
GAUGAACGCUAGCGGCAGGCCUAAUACAUGCAAGUCGAACGGGAUCCAGAUCAAAGCUUGCUUUGGUCUGGUGAGAGUGGCGCACGGGUGCGUAACGCGUGAGCAACCUACCCUUGUCAGGGGGAUAGCCCGGCGAAAGUCGGAUUAAUACCGCAUGACAUCAUUGAGAGGCAUCUUUCGAUGAUCAAAGAUUUAUCGGACAAGGAUGGGCUCGCGUGACAUUAGCUAGUUGGUAAGGUAACGGCUUACCAAGGCUGCGAUGUCUAGGGGCUCUGAGAGGAGAAUCCCCCACACUGGUACUGAGACACGGACCAGACUCCUACGGGAGGCAGCAGUAAGGAAUAUUGGUCAAUGGACGGAAGUCUGAACCAGCCAUGCCGCGUGCAGGAAGACGGCCCUAUGGGUUGUAAACUGCUUUUAUACGGGAACAAACGUCGGUACGUGUACCGGUCUGAGUGUACCGUAAGAAUAAGAAUCGGCUAACUCCGUG